RNAcentral lists this unclassified non-coding RNA (250 nucleotides) under Hevea brasiliensis (rubber tree). The record is from RNAcentral. Lineage: Eukaryota; Viridiplantae; Streptophyta; Magnoliopsida; Malpighiales; Euphorbiaceae.
CAGGAAUGUAGCUGUGCUGUCAGAUUAUGCUGCUCUGGACACUGCUCCAGAUCCAGAGGAAGUUCGGGACUGUGAAAGAUCUACCCGUGCACGCAUUUCUCGGCCGGAAGAGAGAGAGAAGCGUCUAAAAUUUCACCAGAGUGUUCGUGAUUUAGUUGUCGGAAGUGGUGAAAUAAUAAUUGAUGAUAUGAGGUUCACAGUAUCUCAUGUUGCCGAACCAGUUGAAAGGGGAAUUGCUAGAAUAAAUAAG